AUAUAAGAGACAGGUGAGUCAUCGAAUCUUUGAACGCACAUUGCGCCCGCCAGUAUUCUGGCGGGCAUGCCUGUUCGAGCGUCAUUUCAACCAUCAAGCCCCAGUGCUUGUGUUGGAGCCCUGCGGCUGCCGCAGGCUCCCAAACCCAGUGGCGGGCUCGUCGUCGUACCGAGUGCAGUAAAUUUACCACGCUCAGGGCACGCGCGACGGGUAACCGGCCGUAAAACCCCCUAUUUCUCAAGGUUGACCUCGGAUCAGGUAGGAAUACCCGCUGAACUUAAGCAUAUCAAUAAGCGGAGG
This 300-nucleotide unclassified non-coding RNA is filed under the name uncultured Schizothecium. RNAcentral describes it as "sequence contains 5.8S rRNA gene, ITS2". The stretch from base 1 to 84 matches the Rfam family "5.8S ribosomal RNA", at positions 71 to 154 of the family's 154-position model. Lineage: Eukaryota; Fungi; Ascomycota; Sordariomycetes; Sordariales; Lasiosphaeriaceae. The record is from RNAcentral.